GGUUGCGAUCAUACCAGCACUAAUGCACCGGAUCCCCAUCAGAACUCCGCAGUUAAGCGUGCUUGGGCGAGAGUAGUACUAGGAUGGGUGACCCCCUGGAAGUCCUCGUGUUGCAACCC
This 119-nucleotide ribosomal RNA is filed under the name Helianthus annuus (common sunflower). Lineage: Eukaryota; Viridiplantae; Streptophyta; Magnoliopsida; Asterales; Asteraceae. The record is from RNAcentral.